Molecule: small RNA, 82 nt
Filed under: Salmonella enterica
Lineage: Bacteria; Pseudomonadati; Pseudomonadota; Gammaproteobacteria; Enterobacterales; Enterobacteriaceae
Also listed under: 4 other names
Description: partial RtT sRNA
Rfam family: RtT RNA
About the family: This family represents a bacterial cis-regulatory element known as RtT RNA. The exact function of RtT is unknown although it is thought that it may be involved in changing the cellular response in relation to amino acid starvation.
Source: RNAcentral
AUAUCUCUCUGUACGGGAAGGAUGAGAAGCUUCUACCAGGGUUCGAUUCGAGCGCAGCGAGAAAGCGUUGCCGCAGGCAACG